RNAcentral lists this ribosomal RNA (254 nucleotides) under uncultured bacterium. RNAcentral describes it as "partial 16S ribosomal RNA". It matches the Rfam family "Bacterial small subunit ribosomal RNA", at positions 524 to 776 of the family's 1533-position model. The record is from RNAcentral.
UACGAAGGGGGCUAGCGUUGCUCGGAUUUACUGGGCGUAAAGGGCGCGUAGGCGGACAGUUAAGUUGGGGGUGAAAGCCCGGGGCUCAACCUCGGAAUUGCCUUCAAUACUGGCUGUCUUGAGUGCGGGAGAGGUGUGUGGAACUCCGAGUGUAGAGGUGAAAUUCGUAGAUAUUCGGAAGAACACCAGUGGCGAAGGCGACUUACUGGACACAUAUUGACGCUGAGGUGACGAAAGCGUGGGGAGCAAACAGG